UGCCUGCCCAGUGCGAAACCCCUCUCAACGGCCGCGGUAUUUUGACCGUGCUAAGGUAGCGUAAUCAUUUGUCUUUUAAUGAAGACCUGUAUGAACGGCUCCACGAAGGCUUAACUGUCUCCUUUUUCAAGUCAAUGAAAUUGAUCUCCCCGUGCAAAAGCGGGGAUACACCCAUAAGACGAGAAGACCCUAUGGAGCUUUAGAUGUUACAACAAGCAUUAUGUGCUAUUCCCAAACAAAGGGGAUAACCACUAGCCCCUGCCCAAACAUCUUCGGAUGGGGUGACCAUGGGAAACAAGAAACUCCCACGUCUCUGUAUUGGAAUCUCCUUAUUUAAACCCAAACAAACUUCUUCAAACGAGAGCCACCACUCUAAUUCAACAGAAUUUCUGACCACCGAUCCGGCAACGCCGAUUAACGAACCAAGUUACCCUAGGGAUAACAGCGCAAAUCCCCUUUCAGAGCCCAUAUCGAUAAGGGGGCUUACGACCUCGAUGUUG
RNAcentral lists this ribosomal RNA (500 nucleotides) under Centropomus undecimalis. RNAcentral describes it as "partial large subunit ribosomal RNA". It matches the Rfam family "Bacterial large subunit ribosomal RNA", at positions 1856 to 2534 of the family's 2925-position model. The record is from RNAcentral. Lineage: Eukaryota; Metazoa; Chordata; Actinopteri; Centropomidae.